Molecule: transfer RNA, 71 nt
Filed under: Cheirotonus gestroi
Lineage: Eukaryota; Metazoa; Arthropoda; Insecta; Coleoptera; Scarabaeidae
Also listed under: 4 other names
Description: tRNA-Lys
Rfam family: tRNA
About the family: Transfer RNA (tRNA) molecules are approximately 80 nucleotides in length.
Source: RNAcentral
CAUUAGAUGGCUGAAAGAAAGUAGUGGUCUCUUAAACCAAUAAAUAAUAGAUUAACGCCUAUUUCUAGUGG